Molecule: long non-coding RNA, 729 nt
Organism: Mytilus trossulus (common blue mussel)
Lineage: Eukaryota; Metazoa; Mollusca; Bivalvia; Mytilida; Mytilidae
Exons: 4
Source: RefSeq, a predicted model, not a curated record
GUAUUUAAAACAUAAACUAUCCUGAAUUACCAAACUUGGACAGAGGACAAUUAAAUGAUUGUAUUGAGAGGAAUAUUUUUAUUAAUUUUUUCCUGCAUUUUUGUUGUGCCUGCGAUUAAUAGCAAAAGUAGGCGAGACACUGGGUUCUGCGAAACCCUUACAAAUGUUUUGUACUAAAAAUAUUUCUUUUUUACAAGUGUUCUUUUUUAAAUAUCAGAUAUGAACUAGCUAAAAUUGACUAUUAUUUAGAGUUAAGUAAAUAAAAAAAUAUGUAAACUUAGCUCUAGAUAAUAGAUUUUGUGGGUGGGAGAAAAAAUGUUAUUUCAAUUGAUUUGGGGAUUUUUUUUUAAAACAGGAUUUCUUAAAAGUGCAUCUGAUAUUUUUUAUAUAUAAUAUUAUUAUUUUAAAAAGCAAAUGUUCAAUAAGAUAACGAGGAAAGUCACCUUGGCAGUUAGGAGAGCAGCUCUAAGGAAGAUGGCCAAUUAAAUCUUCAACCAAGUCUCAGUCUGAGGCCUUACUGUGAAGAAUCAAUGAUUGUUGAAUCGACAGUAUUUACAUGGUGUUGGGAAUAAGACUUGGAUAUCUAAUAUUGUUAACAUGUUGGUUAGCAUCACAGUGUUUCCAUAAGGUUACUUGCUGGAAUACCAAUUAGAGCUGUUUAAAGUUUAAAGUGUACCUGUUGCUGCCUUGUAUGGUAAAAUCUUCAAACAAUAACAUACAAACAAUCGG